RNAcentral lists this ribosomal RNA (492 nucleotides) under uncultured bacterium. RNAcentral describes it as "partial 16S ribosomal RNA". It matches the Rfam family "Bacterial small subunit ribosomal RNA", at positions 29 to 507 of the family's 1533-position model. The record is from RNAcentral.
AGUGAACGCUGGCGGUAGGCCUAACACAUGCAAGUCGGACGGCAGCACAGUAAGAGCUUGCUCUUACGGGUGGCGAGUGGCGGACGGGUGAGGAAUACAUCGGAAUCUACUUUUUCGUGGGGGAUAACGUAGGGAAACUUACGCUAAUACCGCAUACGACCUACGGGUGAAAGCAGGGGAUCUUCGGACCUUGCGCGAUUGAAUGAGCCGAUGUCGGAUUAGCUAGUUGGCGGGGUAAAGGCCCACCAAGGCGACGAUCCGUAGCUGGUCUGAGAGGAUGAUCAGCCACACUGGAACUGAGACACGGUCCAGACUCCUACGGGAGGCAGCAGUGGGGAAGAUUGGACAAUGGGCGCAAGCCUGAUCCAGCCAUACCGCGUGGGUGAAGAAGGCCUUCGGGUUGUAAAGCCCUUUUGUUGGGAAAGAAAAGCAGCAGGUUAAUACCCCGCUGUUCUGACGUUACCCAAAGAAUAAGCACCGGCUAACUUCGUG